RNAcentral lists this ribosomal RNA (747 nucleotides) under uncultured bacterium. RNAcentral's name for it is "bacterial SSU rRNA". It matches the Rfam family "Bacterial small subunit ribosomal RNA", at positions 94 to 820 of the family's 1533-position model. The record is from RNAcentral.
AGCGGCGAACGGGUGAGUAACACGUGGAUAACCUGCCUGGAAGUGGGGGAUAACCUGGGGAAACUUGGGCUAAUACCGCAUACGUUCUCGGGAUCUUGGUCUCGAGUGCAAAGAUGGCCUCUGCUUGCAAGCUAUCGCUACCAGAGGGGUCCGCGUCUGAUUAGCUAGUUGGUAGGGUAAUGGCCUACCAAGGCUUCGAUCAGUAGCCGGCCUGAGAGGGUGAUCGGCCACACUGGAACUGAGACACGGUCCAGACUCCUACGGGAGGCAGCAGUGGGGAAUAUUGGACAAUGGGCGCAAGCCUGAUCCAGCAACGCCGCGUGGAGGAUGAAGGUCUUCGGAUUGUAAACUCCUGUCAGAUGGGAAGAACAACUGUCGGCAAAUAGUCGACAGUUUUGACUGUACCAUCGGAGGAAGCCCCGGCCAACUCUGUGCCAGCAGCCGCGGUAAUACAGAGGGGGCAAGCGUUAUUCGGAAUUAUUGGGCGUAAAGGGCGCGUAGGUGGCUUGGUAAGUCAAAGGUGAAAUCCCUCGGCUCAACCGAGGAACUGCCUUUGAUACUGCCAGACUUGAGGCCGGGAGAGGGUAGCGGAAUUCCCAGUGUAGCGGUGAAAUGCGUAGAUAUUGGGAGGAACACCGGUGGCGAAGGCGGCUACCUGGACCGGUUCUGACACUGAGGUGCGAAAGCGUGGGGAUCAAACAGGAUUAGAUACCCUGGUAGUCCACGCUGUAAACGAUGGGUACUCGG